AUCGUGGUAUCAGAGUCAUGUUAUUUGCAUGUUGCCACCACAUAUGUGUUGCUCAUAUAAAUAACCUGGCUCUGAUACCAUAAC
Prunus persica (peach) is the source of this 84-nucleotide microRNA precursor. It matches the Rfam family "MIR1511 microRNA precursor family". The record is from Rfam. NCBI's taxonomy places the organism in Eukaryota, Viridiplantae, Streptophyta, Magnoliopsida, Rosales, Rosaceae.